Dicentrarchus labrax (European seabass) is the source of this 1344-nucleotide long non-coding RNA. RefSeq lists it as uncharacterized. NCBI's taxonomy places the organism in Eukaryota, Metazoa, Chordata, Actinopteri, Moronidae. The record is from RefSeq and is a predicted model, not a curated record. The transcript is spliced from 2 exons.
UUAUCUAAAUUACAAACAUGUCUUAAGGACAUAAAAUCCUGGAUGACCUGCAAUUUUCUGAUGUUAAACUCAGAAAAAAACGAAAUUCUUGUUCUUGGCCCCAAAAACCUUAGAGACUCACUGUCUAAAGAUAUAGUUACUCUAGAUGGCAUUAACUUGGCCUCUAGAACCACUGUCAGGAAUCUUGGAGUUAUCUUUGAUCAGGAUUUGUCAUUUAACUCCCACAUAAAGCAGACCUCUAGGACUGCCUUCUUUCAUUUACGUAAUAUUACAAAAAUUAGACACAUACUAUCACAGACAGAUGCAGAAAAACUAAUCCAUGCAUUUGUUACUUCAAGGCUGGAUUACUGCAACUCUUUAUUAUCAGGUUGCCCCAAUAAGUCCAUUAAAACGCUCCAAUUAAUUCAGAACGCUGCAGUACGAGUACUGACAGGAACUAGAAAAAGAGAUCACAUCUCUCCUGUACUAGCUUCUCUGCAUUGGCUCCCUGUAAAAUGUAGAAUAGAAUUUAAAAUCCUCCUCCUCACCUAUAAAGCUCUUCAUGAUCAGGCCCCAUCAUAUCUUAAAGAGCUCAUAGUACCCUAUUACCCCACUAGAACACUACGUUCUCUGAAUGCUGGGCUACUUGUGGUUCCUAUAGUCUCUAAAAGUAGAACAGGAGCCAGAGCCUUCAGUUACCAAGCUCCUCUCCUGUGGAACCAGCUUCCAGUUGUGGUUCUGGAGGCAGACACCCUCACCACAUUCAAGAGUAGGCUUAAGACAUUCCUCUUUGAUAAAGCUUAUAGUUAGGGCUGGAUCAGGUGAGUCCUGAACCAUCCCUUAGUUAUGCUGCUAUAGGCCUAGACCAUCGGGGGAUUUCCCAUGGUGCACUGAGCUCCUCCCUUCCUCUCUCUUUCUGCACUCAUUCAUGUUCCAUUAAUGCAUGUUACUAACUUCACUUCUUCCCCGGAGUUCUUGUGCUUUCUCGUCUCGCAGGUUCUUGUCGAUCCUGGUGGAGCCUCCUGCCAUGGUCCUGCUAGAUUGCCAUUGCCAAUACUGUUGUUGCUGUGCACCUGUCUGUCUCUCGCUCUCUCUCUCUCUCUCUCUCUCUGCCUCCCUCUCUCUCACCCCAACUGGUCGAGACAGACGACCACCCACCUAGAGCCGGAGGAUCUGUCCUAGGUUUCUGCCUUUUAACAGGCAGUGUUUCCUUGCCCUUGUCGCCAAGUGCUUGCUCAUGGUGGUACUGUUGGGUCUCUGUAAUUAAUGUUUUAAAGAGUUCGGUCUAGACCUGCUCUAUUUGAAAAGUGUCCUGAGAUAACUUCUGUUAUGAAUUGGUGCUAUACAAAUAAAAUUGAAUUGAAA